UAUUAAAAAUUUCAUCUUUUUGUAUUGUUAAAAAUUGGCGUGGCUAAUAGAAUAACUAGACAAUAACACUUAGUGUGCCACGUGUAUUUUAUGCUAACAUUUAGGGAUCAGUUUUUAGCAAUAGAAAUGGAUGAAAUUUUUAAUA
Non-coding RNA from Gossypium raimondii (Peruvian cotton), 145 nucleotides. NCBI's taxonomy places the organism in Eukaryota, Viridiplantae, Streptophyta, Magnoliopsida, Malvales, Malvaceae. The record is from Rfam.